Molecule: ribosomal RNA, 482 nt
Filed under: Conus ebraeus
Lineage: Eukaryota; Metazoa; Mollusca; Gastropoda; Neogastropoda; Conidae
Description: partial 16S ribosomal RNA
Rfam family: Bacterial large subunit ribosomal RNA
Source: RNAcentral
GUCGGACCUGCCCAGUGAAGUUUAAACGGCCGCGGUACUCUGACCGUGCAAAGGUAGCAUAAUCAUUUGCCUUAUAAUUGAAGGCUGGAAUGAAUGGUUUGACAAGAAUACACCUGUCUCUUUUAGAUUAUUUAGAAUUUUAUCUUUGGGCGAAAAAGCCCAGAUAUUAUUAAAAGACAAGAAGACCCUAUCGAGCUUCAGAAAAAUUAAUGGAGCAGUCAUGUUUAAUAUUAACUAAAAAAAAAGCUAUUAAAUACAUUGGUUGGGGCAACCGAGGAGUAGACAAAGCCUCCCUUGAAUAAGAAGUCUUACUUGAGAGGAUCCAAGAAUUUUGAUCAAAGGAAUUAGUUACCGUAGGGAUAACAGCAUUAUCUUUUUUGAGAGCCCAUAUCGAAAAAAAGGUUUGUGACCUCGAUGUUGGACCAGAAUAUCCUAAAGAUGCAGAAGUCUUUGAGGGUUGGUCUGUUCGACCAUUAAAAUUC